RNAcentral lists this non-coding RNA (244 nucleotides) under Secundilactobacillus collinoides. RNAcentral describes it as "Lactobacillus collinoides T-box sequence". It matches the Rfam family "T-box leader". From Rfam's summary of the family: Uncharged tRNA acts as the effector for transcription antitermination of genes in the T-box leader family. The record is from RNAcentral. Lineage: Bacteria; Bacillati; Bacillota; Bacilli; Lactobacillales; Lactobacillaceae.
GAAAAAACAGAAGGAUAAGUAAGUCUUUUCGACCUGACAGUGAAUCGGGGUUAGUGGAAAACCGAUGAGGUAUCGAAAAAACUGAAUAACACUUUCUGAGAUUGCUACCCCAAAUGGCGUUGCCAAAGUAGGCGUAGACGUGACCGGCCCGUUAUUGUCCGGAGGCGCAUGAUUGUGCGUCGUAAGGUGGUCUAUUUAAAAUAGACAAACUGGGUGGUACCGCGAAAAGUCUUUCGUCCCUUUA